UAUUCAGUUUCGUAACACGGUAACAGGUUAUGUCGACCAUGCCAGGAGGGCAGGAAGCCAAUUUCUGUUACAACCAGACUCUUUUUUCAGGAUGAAAUUAGGGACACCUCCAGGAUGGAGAAUGAGAGCCGGCCUGGGAAUGCCGGUGGGGCAGGAGCCUAAAGGAAUGCGAUCACGGAUGAUUAUGAAGGAUCGACCGUCACGGAUGAAAGAGGGAUCGCCAGCAAGGAUUGUGGGUUAGGAGGACCAUCAGGGACAAGUUUUCAAGGACGAGCAGGGAAGCAACAAGGUAGCGGGACUGCUGCAAACGAACUAAGAGGGAACCGAGAAAUCGGUUCCCUCUUUUCGUUUU
Molecule: small RNA, 352 nt
Organism: Dickeya dadantii 3937
Lineage: Bacteria; Pseudomonadati; Pseudomonadota; Gammaproteobacteria; Enterobacterales; Pectobacteriaceae
Source: Rfam